Molecule: RNA transcript, 2440 nt
Organism: Mustela lutreola (European mink)
Lineage: Eukaryota; Metazoa; Chordata; Mammalia; Carnivora; Mustelidae
Gene name: lymphocyte antigen 6D-like
Exons: 5
Source: RefSeq, a predicted model, not a curated record
GUGACCCGCAGGGUUGGAGGCAGGAGCCACUGAGGAGGAGGAGACUGGCAGCUACAUAAGGGCCAGCCCAGCCCAGCCUGGAGCUCUCUGGGAGGUGGUCGCUGUGAGGAUGAAGGCUGUUGUUCUGCUGGUGGCCCUGCUGUGCCAGGGUGCCUGGGCCUUGAGAUGCCACAAUUGCUCUAGCACUGGAGGGAGCACGUGCUCAGGACCUAUAGAAUGCCCCAGCCACGCGCAAGCCUGCAUUUCAGAGAAGCUAAGCAUGGACGUGCUGGGCGGGAAGUACACCUUAGUGGCCAAGACCUGUGUGGAGUCCUGCGACUACCCCAACCCCGUGAAAGCCAGAGCGUACAUCAAGGAGAUGCAAGUCUUCCAACACUGCUGUAGCACUGACCUGUGUAACGGAGCCGGGAACUGGGGCCCGGGGACCACCACCGUGGGCCUCAUGCUUGUGGCCACUGUCCUCGUCACCCUCCCAGGGGCCUUCUUGUGACCCAGAGGUGCAGGACGUGCAUGAGGCGGCACAACCCCCGUCCCCAUCCAACUGUCUGUGAGCACAUCCAUGGAGGAGGAGCCUGGGGAGGUGGGGGACUGGGCGGGAUGGUCACAAAGGACUGCGCCAACUCAUCCCCGAUCUUCAAGGCUGACAGAUGUCCCCACCCCCAGCACGCCGAUGCGAGAACCCCCCAGUCUUUGACUUUGUCUGAGGGUCCUCCCUGGCCUUUCAGCAAAACCAGCCCUGCCCUUGUCCUCUGGGAGCUGCCGCCCCAUCCGGGUGGUGCUGGGAGGAGUGUCCUUUGCCCUGGGUGGAGGACCCAACAGCCAGGAUGUUGCUUUCAAGGGCAGAACGUGAGGCCUGACUCACACCCCAGAGCCCCUGGUCAGGCUGGGGCUCCGGGGGUCACAAGCCCUCCCCGCGGCGCCUCCCGUCCCUGUCCAAAGCCCCGCUUCCUGACGGGUCCCCCAGGAGCCUCUGGAAUAAAGCUCGUACACGGGAAUCCUGCCUCAGUGUCUGCUUCAAGAGAACCCAGCCUGAAGCCGAGCUUCGUGCCCGCUGUGGCCAUGGCUCCCAGGCGGAGGCGUGUUCUCUGCUCUCCGGGGGUCUCUGCGCCUCGCGAAACCUUUCAAACCAUACAGUGUGUCAUUCGUGUAGCACUGAGGCCAUCAGUCAGGAAAUGCUCGGGGUGCUCUGAGAAGAGGUGACUGGGGGGGCCCUCUGGAGACAAAGUGGCCACAGGCCGGGGUGCCUGGAUCAGGUUGGCCAGAGUCCAGUGGCCUGUUAGCCGUCGCCUCCUCCCGAGGCAACUGGGGAGGAGUCCCAGGCAGGGCCAGGGACCAGCGGGAGCACUGGGCAGGACUGGCCCAUCCCAGGCCCUGCAGACAGAACUCAGACCCCUAAGUUGAUGCCUGGCAGAGAGGGUGGCCGGUGGGAGGCCGGGGGAUACUCACCAUGGACCCCCCUACACAGCCAGGGGAGGUGGGCUUUUCCCAAAGACCUUACCAAACCCUGGGGCAGAAGGCACUCGGGGCGGGGCUCUCAGCUCCUUCUCUCCUUUAGUCCCAAAACCACCACCACCACCCCGCCCCGAGAAUCAGACGUCACUCUAAUUGUCCUUUGUCUGGUGAAGGGACCUGCUGAGAGUCUGGGUGCUGGUCAGCUCAGGUGUGACAAAUCACCAGCGACCAGUGCGAUUAGCCUCCCCUGGUCCUGCAGCCGCCGGCGUGUCCUCCCCCUACCCUCACAUAGUCUUCGGGUUUCCCCUUCUUAUCAGGACACCAGUAACACAGGUUUAGGGCAUCUGUAGGACUAUCUCGAGACACAGUCACCUUCUGAGGUCCUGAGGCUUAACACUUCAACCUCGGAGUUUGGGAAGGACUCAAUUCAGGCCACUAUACAGGAGGAGGGAGGGUCCCAUUGAAGUCCAAGUUCAGACUCACCAGGAUCCCACAGAGGUGAAGGGGCUGCUCCCACACGAGCGGCUGGAAGGUCCAGCCCAGACAGCUGCGCGAAUCCCUGUGAGUAGAAUGUUUAAUCUCGCCCCAGGGAAUGCCGGCGUCGGUCCUCCGCUGCAGGUCAUCGCAGAGCCUGGGGACGUCCCGAGCACAGUGUCCCGUUUCCCCGGGGCUCUGGGCCACACGGUGUCAGCUCGGGCUCCCGAGGGGCUGGAGACGGAGGUAGGCCACGCAGGAAGACGACCAGUGGAUGUUAAGGGCCCGUGAGACGGAGAACGGCAGGCCCCGCACACCGGCGGCACCGACGCAACGCCCGGAAAGGCCAGGACGGAGCCAGCAGGGCGCGUCCGGUCCGCCCCCAAGCCCUGAGCCCACUGAUGGCCUCGGCCCACCAGGACCCCCCAGAGCUGUAAAUUCAGGACCCGACGGACAACUCUGAAAAAUAAAGAAGAGUCCAAGAAAUUAUUCUCUGGAGAAAUUUCUCUUCUAG